UCGAGCGAGAACCGGGGCUUCGGCCCCGGGGACAGCGGCGAACGGGUGAGUAACACGUGGGUAAUCUGCCCUCGGCGCCGGGAUAGCCCGGGGAAACCCGGAUUAAUACCGGAUGUCCCCCCAGCCCCUCGGGGCGGUGGGAAAAGGUAGCUUCGGCCUCCGGCCGAGGAGGAGCCCGCGGCCGAUUAGCUUGUUGGCGGGGUAACGGCCCACCAAGGCGACGAUCGGUAGCUGGUGUGAGAGCAUGAUCAGCCACACUGGGACUGAGACACGGCCCAGACUCCUACGGGAGGCAGCAGUGGGGAAUCUUGCGCAAUGGGCGAAAGCCUGACGCAGCGACGCCGCGUGCGGGAAGAAGGCCUUCGGGUUGUAAACCGCUUUCAGGAGGGACGAAGCCACUCGGGUUAAUAGCCCAGAGGGUGACGGUACCUCCAGAAGAAGCCCCGGCUAACUACGUGCCAGCAGCCGCGGUAAUACGUAGGGGGCAAGCGUUG
This 494-nucleotide ribosomal RNA is filed under the name uncultured bacterium. RNAcentral's name for it is "bacterial SSU rRNA". It matches the Rfam family "Bacterial small subunit ribosomal RNA", at positions 62 to 543 of the family's 1533-position model. The record is from RNAcentral.